RNAcentral lists this ribosomal RNA (464 nucleotides) under uncultured bacterium. Its description in RNAcentral is "partial 16S ribosomal RNA". It matches the Rfam family "Bacterial small subunit ribosomal RNA", at positions 28 to 507 of the family's 1533-position model. The record is from RNAcentral.
GACGAACGCUGGCGGCGUGCUUAACACAUGCAAGUCGAACGGAAAGGCCCUGCUUGCAGGGUACUCGAGUGGCGAACGGGUGAGUAACACGUGGGUGAUCUGCCCUGCACUUCGGGAUAAGCCUGGGAAACUGGGUCUAAUACCGGAUAGGAGCCAUUUUUAGUGUGAUGGUUGGAAAGUUUUUUCGGUGUAGGAUGAGCUCGCGGCCUAUCAGCUUGUUGGUGGGGUAAUGGCCUACCAAGGCGGCGACGGGUAGCCGGCCUGAGAGGGUGGACGGCCACAUUGGGACUGAGAUACGGCCCAGACUCCUACGGGAGGCAGCAGUGGGGAAUAUUGCACAAUGGGCGCAAGCCUGAUGCAGCGACGCCGCGUGGGGGAUGACGGCCUUCGGGUUGUAAACUCCUUUCGCUAGGGACGAAGCUUUUGUGACGGUACUUAGAUAAGAAGCACCGGCUAACUACGUG